CGGAACCGGAGCUAAUACCGGAUAAUAUAUUGAACCGCAUGGUUCAAUAGUGAAAGACGGUUUUGCUGUCACUUAUAGAUGGAUCCGCGCCGCAUUAGCUAGUUGGUAAGGUAACGGCUUACCAAGGCAACGAUGCGUAGCCGACCUGAGAGGGUGAUCGGCCACACUGGAACUGAGACACGGUCCAGACUCCUACGGGAGGCAGCAGGA
Molecule: ribosomal RNA, 210 nt
Filed under: uncultured Staphylococcus sp.
Lineage: Bacteria; Bacillati; Bacillota; Bacilli; Caryophanales; Staphylococcaceae
Description: partial 16S ribosomal RNA
Rfam family: Bacterial small subunit ribosomal RNA
Source: RNAcentral